GAUGAACGCUGGCGGCGUGCCUAAUACAUGCAAGUCGAACGCUGAAGCUUGGUGCUUGCACCGAGCGGAUGAGUUGCGAACGGGUGAGUAACGCGUAGGUAACCUGCCUCUUAGCGGGGGAUAACUAUUGGAAACGAUAGCUAAUACCGCAUAAAAGUCGACAUCGCAUGAUGUUGACUUGAAAGGUGCAAUUGCAUCACUAAGAGAUGGACCUGCGUUGUAUUAGCUAGUUGGUGAGGUAACGGCUCACCAAGGCGACGAUACAUAGCCGACCUGAGAGGGUGGUCGGCCACCCUGGGACUGAGACACGGCCCAGACUCCUACGGGAGGCAGCAGUAGGGAAUCUUCGGCCAUGGGGGCAACCCUGACCGAGCAACGCCGCGUGAGUGAAGAAGGUUUUCGGAUCGUAAAGCUCUGUUGUAAGAGAAGAACGAGUGUGAGAGUGGAAAGUUCACACUGUGACGGUAACUUACCAGAAAGAGACGGCUAACUACGUG
This 497-nucleotide ribosomal RNA is filed under the name uncultured bacterium. Its description in RNAcentral is "partial 16S ribosomal RNA". It matches the Rfam family "Bacterial small subunit ribosomal RNA", at positions 28 to 507 of the family's 1533-position model. The record is from RNAcentral.